RNAcentral lists this ribosomal RNA (703 nucleotides) under uncultured delta proteobacterium. RNAcentral describes it as "bacterial SSU rRNA". It matches the Rfam family "Bacterial small subunit ribosomal RNA", at positions 11 to 688 of the family's 1533-position model. Lineage: Bacteria; Deltaproteobacteria. The record is from RNAcentral.
GUUUGAUCCUGGCUCAGAGCGAACGUUAGCGGCGGGCCUAACACAUGCAAGUCGAACGAGAAUGUAGGCUUCGGCCUAUUAGUAAAGUGGCGGACGGGUGCGUAACACGUGGGUAAUCUACCUUCCGGCGGGGGACAACAGUCCGAAAGGACUGCUAAUACCGCGUACGUCAGCGGCGCCUACGGGCGCUGUUGGGAAAGAUGGCCUCUCUUCAGAAGCUGUCACCGGAAGAUGAGCCCGCGCCCCAUCAGCUAGUUGGUGAGGUAAUGGCUCACCAAGGCUUAGACGGGUAGCUGGUCUGAGAGGAUGAUCAGCCACACUGGGACUGCGACACGGCCCAGACUCCUACGGGAGGCAGCAGUGGGGAAUAUUGGGCAAUGGGCGCAAGCCUGACCCAGCCACGCCGCGUGAGUGAUGAAGGCCUUCGGGUCGUAAAGCUCUGUGGGGAGGGACGAAUAAGCCCGGUAUUAACACCACCGGGCCCUGACGGUACCUCCUUAGCAAGCACCGGCUAACCCUGUGCCAGCAGCCGCGGUAAUACAGGGGGUGCAAACGUUGCUCGGAAUUAUUGGGCGUAAAGCGCACGUAGGCGGUUUGUUAUGUCGGAUGUGAAAGCCCUUGGCUCAACCGAGGAAGUGCAUCCGAAACUGGCAAGCUAGAGUAUGUAAGAGGGUCGCGGAAUUCCCGGUGUAGAGGUGAAAUU